Molecule: ribosomal RNA, 524 nt
Filed under: uncultured bacterium
Lineage: Bacteria
Description: partial 16S ribosomal RNA
Rfam family: Bacterial small subunit ribosomal RNA
Source: RNAcentral
GAUGAAUGCUGGCGGCGUGCCUAAUACAGGCAAGUCGAGCGCAGGAAACUGACGGAACUCUUCGGAGGGAAGGCAGCGGAAUGAGCGGCGGACGGGUGAGUAACACGUAAGGAACCUGCCUCAAGGAUUGGGACAACUCCGAGAAAUCGGAGCUAAUACCGGAUAGUUCAUCGGACCGCAUGGUCCGCUGAUGAAAGGCGCUCCGGCGUCACCUUGAGAUGGCCUUGCGGUGCAUUAGCUAGUUGGUGGGGUAACGGCCCACCAAGGCGACGAUGCAUAGCCGACCUGAGAGGGUGAUCGGCCACACUGGGACUGAGACACGGCCCAGACUCCUACGGGAGGCAGCAGUAGGGAAUCUUCCACAAUGGUCGAAAGUCUGAUGGAGCAACGCCGCGUGAGUGAUGAAGGUUUUCGGAUCGUAAAACUCUGUUGUAAGGGAAGAGCACGUACGAGAGGGAAUGCUCGUACCUUGACGGUACCUUACGAGAAAGCCACGGCUAACUACGUGCCAGCCGCCGCAGUAA